GACGAACGCUGGCGGCGUGCCUAAUACAUGCAAGUUGAGCGAUGAAGCUUGGUGCUUGCACCCAUUUGAAGAGCAGCGAACGGGUGAGUAACGCGUGGGGAAUCUGCCUUUGAGCGGGGGACAACAUUUGGAAACGAAUGCUAAUACCGCAUAAUAACUUUAAACAUAAGUUUUAAGUUUGAAAGAUGCAAUUGCAUCACUCAAAGAUGAUCCCGCGUUGUAUUAGCUAGUUGGUGAGGUAAAGGCUCACCAAGGCGAUGAUACAUAGCCGACCUGAGAGGGUGAUCGGCCACAUUGGGACUGAGACAAGGCCCAAACUCCUACGGGAGGCAGCAGUAGGGAAUCUUCGGAAAUGGACGAAAGGCUGACCGAGCAACGCCGCGUGAGUGAAGAAGGUUCUCGGAUCGUAAAAGUCUGUUGGUAGAGAAGAACGUGGGUGAGAGUGGAAAGCUCAUCAAGUGACGGUAACUACCCAGAAAGGGACGGCUAACUACGUG
RNAcentral lists this ribosomal RNA (497 nucleotides) under uncultured bacterium. RNAcentral describes it as "partial 16S ribosomal RNA". It matches the Rfam family "Bacterial small subunit ribosomal RNA", at positions 28 to 507 of the family's 1533-position model. The record is from RNAcentral.